This is a long non-coding RNA of Hordeum vulgare subsp. vulgare (domesticated barley), 1073 nucleotides long. RefSeq lists it as uncharacterized. The record is from RefSeq and is a predicted model, not a curated record. NCBI's taxonomy places the organism in Eukaryota, Viridiplantae, Streptophyta, Magnoliopsida, Poales, Poaceae. The transcript is spliced from 4 exons.
CGGUCAGACAGGUGCAAGGGCGCCAAUCUCCCUCCUCGUGUUCCCGGACGACGCGCAAGCCAUCCUUCCCUUUCUUCCGUGCGGCUCUACCCUGUCCUGACUUCUCCUCGCCGCGCCGCCGUCCGCUCGACCACAGCUCGCCCCCGUCCACAAAGGAGACAAGUAGCAGCAGCGCCCCAAAUCGAGGGAGGGAGGAUCCUCUCAGGAAGUCAUUUUUUUGCAGGUCAAAAAAGCAAGAUUUAGAUGAUAUUUCGCAACAAUGUCAAUGUUAGAUUCUGAUUCACCAACAGUGCUCUUUAGGUUAGAAAGGAUUUGAAUUGAGCGAUUCAACUCUGCCUUCAUCAGUACAAACAAUUCAUAAAAGAGAUGAAUUGGACUAAUCUACUCAGCAUCUCAUGACUUUAGAAGCACGAGUUCAUGAAAACUGAUAUCCACUAGGAUUGCUCUGCUCCUGUUGACAUGCGAGAGCUGUUUGAAGCGAACUGGAUGGUUGUCACCACUGAUUAAGCUGCCGAGCCCAAGAAUUGUGUCAGACUAUUGGCCAAGCUGUUCAAUUUCUCAACACCGUUCAGUUUUGUCAUUGGCCGCCCUUGCGUACACUCAACAGAGAAGGUGGUGGCUCGACAAUUUAAUAAGCCAGAUUUGUGGGAAGUGGAAUGCAUGUGUAACCAAACUGGGCUGGACCAAUCUUGAGGUUUUCCACGAAUUCUUUUAAAAAUGGUCCUUAAGCAAGGCACUGGGAAAUUGUGGAUAGCUGAUAUAUCCAGCAGGUAUGUGCACAUUCUGCUAUAAUAUAGAGUAGGGAGUGCUCAGCAUAAAUUGUGAGAUCUGAGCUGGUACAUAAAAUAAACCAAGAUAGUCUUGUCUUACGUGCAGAUGAUUUUAUUAUGGCAUACUGUUCAGCAUAAUUCUGACUCUAGAAUGUCUGUAUUAGCCGUUUGAUGAGUCAACUAGAAACUUCAUAGGUUUUUAGUACUCCAGUUAUGUUGUCAUUUGUAUAUCUCCAGAUAUAAACUUCAUAAAUUUAUAUCGUGAAUCAUUUUUAUGCUGCUACAUUUCUAGCAGAAGUUGUA